Molecule: ribosomal RNA, 408 nt
Filed under: uncultured bacterium
Lineage: Bacteria
Description: partial 16S ribosomal RNA
Rfam family: Bacterial small subunit ribosomal RNA
Source: RNAcentral
GACGAACGCUGGCGGCGUGCUUAACACAUGCAAGUCGAACGGAGUGGCGAACGGGUGAGUAACACGUGGGUGACCUGCCCUGCACUUCGGGAUAAUCCUGGGAAACUGGGUCUAAUACCGGAUAGUGUGGGAUGGGCUCGCGGCCAAUCAGCUUGUGGGUGGGGUAAUGGCCUACCAAGGCGGCGACGGGUAGCCGGCCUGGGAGGGUGGACGGCCACAUUGGGACUGCGACACGGCGCAGACUCCUACGGGAGGCAACGGGGGAGAAUAUUGCACAAUGGGGGGAAGCCUGUGGCGGCGGCGCCGCGUGGGGGAUGAUGGCCUUCGGGUUGUAAACUCCUUUCACCAUAGACGCGGUAGAUGGAGAAGAAGCACCGGCUAACUACGUGCCAGCAGCCGCGGUAAUAC